RNAcentral lists this long non-coding RNA (729 nucleotides) under Brassica napus (rape). RNAcentral's name for it is "long non-coding RNA (BNAP_LNC025316)". Lineage: Eukaryota; Viridiplantae; Streptophyta; Magnoliopsida; Brassicales; Brassicaceae. The record is from RNAcentral.
AUAUUAUAUAAUACAUAAUAUUAGAAAGAUGGUACAUAAUAUCUCAUACACGUACAAAGAUUAAAUGGCCAAUUCUCUUCUGGACCCUCGAUUCUUUAGUUUUCCAAGAAUGUUGAGCCGGGUAUGUAAGCCAUGUAUCUAGGCGUUCCUCGAGAAAGAUCCCUUCCUUAUUGAUACAAUUAGACCCGCCGCGGUAUGCUCAGCUACGCCAUUGAUCCUUGAGUACUUGUGCUAAGUACAUGCUCUCUCUCUUCUCUACAUAUAUCUAUGUAUCUAUAUAUUUUUGUUACUAUUAAAACCACAACUGCGUUGUCUGUAGUUUUCCCGCAUGUCACCCUUUGCAGUCUAUAACACAAACACAAUGAAAAUAUAUCAUCCCGCCCGUAGGAUUUUUAAGGUCAAAACGAGUGAGAUAUGAACUAAAUUAUCCAAAAUGAAUUAUAUGAAUGCAUUUUCCCUAAAUUAUUUAAAAUUAUACCAACUUCCUGAUAAAUCCAAAAAAAACUCAAAUCACCUAUUUUUGUUUCCUGGAAAAACCCAAUUUAUCCAUAAAAUUUACUCAAAUUAACCAAAAUAAUCUGAAACACCUGUAACCGAAAGGGACCCGGUUUUGUUUUUGAUAUUAGCUGGUUCCUCACUUUGUUGUCCAAACUGAACCAAAAACUAUAAUAACUGAACGAGAACUGAAUCAAAUUAUAAAUAACCGAACAUAUCUUAUAUCUUUAGAAU